ACUCACUCCACCUCAUUACACUCACACUGCCUUGGUACACUCACAUACCCUGCCUCGGUACACUCAUCCUGCCUCGCACUCACACACCACCUCUCAUUACACUUACACUGCCUCAAAACACUCACACCCUGCCUCUGUACACUCACAACCCGCCUCUGUACACUCACACACCCCGCCUCGGUACAUGCACACAUACCGCCUCGGUAGGCUCACACAUACCAUCUCGGUACACACACACGCCGCCUCGGUACACUCACAGAAUCAUGGUACACUCACAUAACCUGCCUUGGUACACUCAUACAUACUGCCUCAGUACACUCACACACCGCCUCGGUACACUCACACUGCCUCAGUAUAAUCACUCCACCUUGGUACACUCACACACCCCUCCUCGGUACACUCACACUGCCUCAGAACCUCACAUACCGCCUCGGUACACACACAUACCCCGCCUUGAUAGACUGACACACACCACCUCAGUACGCUCACACAGCCAGCCUCGGUAUACUCACACAACCUGCCUUGGUACACUCACACACCUCGCCUCAGUACAUUCAACCACCUCAGUACACUCACUCACACCACCUUGGUAUACUCACACACCCCACCACAAUACCCUCACUUUGCCUCGGUACACUGACUAAUACCACCUCAGUACACUCAUACCCAUUGCCUCAGUAUACUCACACCACCUUGGUACACUCACACACCCCGUCUGAGUACACUCACACACCUUGCCUCAGUACACUCACACUGCCUUGGUACACUCACACACACACCACCUCGGUACACUCACACCCCUCCUUAUUACACACACACCUUACCUUGGCACACACCCUGUCUCAGUACACACACACACCAUCUCGGUACACUUACACACCCCACCUUGGUACACUCACACACCCCACCUUGGUACACUCACACACCCUGCCUCAGUACACUCACACACACCGCCUUGGUACACUCGCAUUGCCUUGGUACAUUCACACACCCCAACUCAGUACACUCAGAAAACAUGCCUCUGUACAUUCACACACCACACCACCUCGUUAUACUCACACCAUCUCAGUACACUCACACACUCCAUCUGAGUACAUUCACACACCUUGUCUUGGUACACUCACACCACCUUGGUACACACACACCUUGCCUCUCUGUACACUCACACAUCCCCACCUUGAUACCUUCACAUACACCACCUCGACACAUUCAUACACCCCGCCUCAGAACACUCACACAUCCACAUACACCCACACACACCACCUCGGUACAUUCACACACCCCACCUUGGUAUACUCACACAACCCACCUUGGUACACUCAUACAACCUGCCUCGCUACACUCACACGCACUGCCUCGGUACACUUGCACACCCAACCUUGGUACACCCACACACACCUCCUCGGUACACAUACACACCCCGCCUCAGUACACCCACACAACCCACCUCGGUACACUCACACACCCCACCUCGGUACACUCACACACCCCACCUCGGUACACUCACACACCCCGCCUCAGUACACUCACGUCUUGCUUCAGUACACUCACAUGUCCCACCUCGGUCCACUCAUACACACUGCCUUGGUGCACUCACAAAUGCUGCCUCAGUACAUUCACACACACCACCUCAGUACACUCGCACACCCAACCUUGGUAUACUCACACACACCGCCUCAAUACACAUACACAUACCACCUCAGUACACUCACACAACCCGCCUCGGUACACUCACACACCUUUCCUCGGUACACUCACACGACUUGCCUUGGUACACUCGCAUGCCUUGCCUGUGUACACUCAUACAUACCACCUUGGUACGCUCACACACAUUGCCUUGGUACACUCAUACACUGCCUUGGUAUACUCACACACUUUGCUUCAGUACGCUCACACACCCGCCUCAGUACACUCACAUCACCUCGGUACACUGCCAUACCCCACUUCAGUAUACUCACACACUUUGCCUUGGUACACUCAGACUGCCUCGAUACAUUCACACACCCCACCUCAGUCCACUCACACACCCUGCACCGGUACACUCCCACAUCGCGCCUUGGUCCACUCACACACACUACCUCAGUCCACUCAGAUACCCUGCCUUUGUCCACUCACACGCCCCACCUUGGUACAUUCACAAAACCCGCCUUGGUACACUCACACACACCACCUUGGUACACUCACACACACCACCUCGUUACACUCACACACACUGCCGCAGUACACUCACACACCCCGCCUCGGUACACUUACACACCCUGCCUCGGAACACUCACACAAAUCGUCUUGGUACUCUCACACUGCCUUGGUACACUCACACACCCCACCUCGGUACACUCACA
This 2342-nucleotide long non-coding RNA is filed under the name Pan troglodytes (chimpanzee). RNAcentral's name for it is "long non-coding RNA NONPTRT000263". The record is from RNAcentral. Lineage: Eukaryota; Metazoa; Chordata; Mammalia; Primates; Hominidae.